GGCUGCAACUCGCCUACACGAAGUUGGAAUUGCAGUAAUCGUGGAUCAGCAUGCCACGGUGAAUACGUUCCCGGGUCCUUGUACACACCGCCCGUCACACCAUGGGAGUUGGAAAUGCCCGAAGUCAGUGGCCCAACCGGAAGGGGGGAGCUGCCGAAGGCAGGUUCGAUGACUGGGGUGAAGUCGUAACAAGGUAGC
Molecule: ribosomal RNA, 198 nt
Filed under: uncultured bacterium
Lineage: Bacteria
Description: partial 16S ribosomal RNA
Rfam family: Bacterial small subunit ribosomal RNA
Source: RNAcentral